This 465-nucleotide ribosomal RNA is filed under the name uncultured bacterium. RNAcentral's name for it is "partial 16S ribosomal RNA". It matches the Rfam family "Bacterial small subunit ribosomal RNA", at positions 28 to 506 of the family's 1533-position model. The record is from RNAcentral.
GAUGAACGCUGGCGGCGUGCUUAACACAUGCAAGUCGAACGAUGAAGCCCAGCUUGCUGGGUGGAUUCGUGGCGAACGGGUGAGUAACACGUGAGUAACCUGCCCUUGACUCUGGGUUAAGCCUGGUCAACUGGGUCUAAUACUUACUAUGUCUUCUCAUCACAUGGUUGGGUGUGGAAAGAUUUAUUGUUCUUGUAUGAAGUCGCGGCCUAUCAGCUCGUUGGUGAGGUAAUGGCUCACAAAGGCGACGCCGGGUAGCCGGCCUGAGAGGGUGACCGGCCACAGUGGGACAGAGACACGGCCCAGAGGGCUACGGGAGGCAGGAGUGGGGAAUAGUGCACAAUGGGCGCAAGCCGGAUGCAGGGACGCCGCGUGAGGGAGGACGGCCUUCGGGUUGUAAAACUCUUUCAGUAGGGAAGAAGCGAGAGUGACGGUACCUGCAGAAGAAGCGCCGGCUAACUACGU